Molecule: ribosomal RNA, 366 nt
Filed under: Triticum aestivum (bread wheat)
Lineage: Eukaryota; Viridiplantae; Streptophyta; Magnoliopsida; Poales; Poaceae
Description: partial small subunit ribosomal RNA
Source: RNAcentral
AUGUCGCGACUAGCAAAGUUGAACUUAAUCCCUAGUUUCACCACUGUCAAGGGAUCUAAGUGUCAAGUAUGUGUGCAAGCUAAGCAACCUCGUAAGUCUCACGUGACUGCGGAAACGAGAAAUCUUGCACCACUAGAACUUAUACAUUCAGAUCUAUGUGAAAUGAAUGGUGUUUUGACAAAAGGUGGAAAGAAAUAUUUCAUGACGUUAAUUGACGACUCCACUAGAUACUGUUGUGUGUAUCUUCUGAAAUCUAAGGAUGAGGCUCUGAACUUUUUCAAGAUCUAUAAAGCUGAAGUGGAAAACCAACUUGAUCGGAAAAUUAAGAGGCUUAGGUCCGACCAUGGUGGAGAAACAAAGAGAUAA